UUAAUUGGUUGUAAAUUUGAGCUUUAAAAUUAAAAUUCACAACUCAAAUGUAGAUUGGUUGUGAAUUCGAGUUUUAAAUUAAAACUAAAAUUUACAAUCGAGAAUAUUCUUAACUACAAGAAAUCUGGGCGGAAGUCGAUGGACUUGAGUUAACGAUGAAAUUCUAUCCACAGGUGAGUUCCGACAUAUCAUUGUUGGACCUCCGACACCACUUUCUGCCGCAAAAAGGCGAUGUCAUGGCUGACGACAAGGCCGACAAAGGAGUUAGGCGACGUCACACAAUCCAUCCACUGAUCCAAUUUAAUCAGCCGCACGAAAGUCCCUCCCUCAUUUUGUCAUAAACCAUAUCUCUCUUUCCCACUUCGAUUUUUGCCGUUACCGCUCGCUUCUCUCUCCCCCUCUUCCGUCCGUCCCCACGUACUCUCUCUCUCUCUCUCCUUCUCCUUUGCCUUCUUUUUUCCGUAUCUUUGCCUAAUUUUUUAAUUUGGGCAAAGCAACCAUUGUUGCCGGCUCGACGCCCACCACCAAAGAUUCAGUGAAUGCACAAAUAAACACACGCGAGAAAUCUAGAAUAUCUAGAAAUGAAGAACCUGGUAUGCAAAAAUAAAGGAAAAUAGGGACGAAUGAGGUACGGACUUCGCACUCCUCUCUGCUGAUAAACUCUUUUGACAACUUUGGAUGAUAAUUUCCCAUAACACAAUGACAGUAGACGAAAAUGGUAGUAUGAGAAUAGCAGAGACAAUAAUAUGCGAAAGAUAUAUAUAUAUUGCUUAGAACUUUAAAUGCCGGAAUUCUAGAUUGAAAGUGAACGUGUCUUUACAAUGGUUUUCUCUCCUUUUAUAUGACUAGAAACGAAGGGUAAAAUAGUUUUCUAAGAAUUACGUGCACAACGUUAGUUAUAAUCAUCAUGAGAAUCUAACUAGAAAUCGACUAUUAAUUAACUAACUAUUUUAUUUUUUCCCCUCAUGACUGUCCAAGGUCAGUUAUGGGUUGUCAUCUUUAAGAUCACAUGUUCUUCAUAUUAUUCGCCAAGGUUGAUAAACUUUACGGCGUUUACUGGUAUCAGGGCUGUCACUUGGGAUCAUCUCACGACUGACUCAGCAUAUCACCGCCCUUAGCGUUGAUCAACAUUUCACUCUUGACUCGUCAUGCCCUAGAUGAUACAUUAUGAUAUGUCAUGUCGAUCACAUAAUAAAGAUAUAAUGUUAGUACUAAUAAUCUCGUUUGGACCCCUGCCUUCCACUCGAGGAAAAUGUCAUCGGUCUGUCACAACUCACGCUAAAUACUACUAUGCAUGAUAUAUAUACUCCACAUCAGUUUUGAUUGUGAAUUUGAGUUUUGAAAUCAAAGUUCACAAUUCGAAUAUAGAUUGAUUGUUAAUUCGAGUUUUAAAUUUAAAUUCACAACUAAUCAUAAGUUGAUUAUGAAUUGCAGG
This 1435-nucleotide long non-coding RNA is filed under the name Salvia miltiorrhiza (redroot sage). RNAcentral describes it as "long non-coding RNA (SMIL_LNC006894)". Lineage: Eukaryota; Viridiplantae; Streptophyta; Magnoliopsida; Lamiales; Lamiaceae. The record is from RNAcentral.